AUCUGCCCUCAGGAGGGGGAUAACGGUUGGAAACGACCGCUAAUACCCCAUAUGCCGCGAGGUGAAAUGAAUUUCGCCUGAGGAUGAGCUCGCGUCUGAUUAGCUAGUUGGUGGGGUAAAGGCUUACCAAGGCAUCGAUCAGUAGCUGGUCUGAGAGGAUGAUCAGCCACACUGGGACUGAGACACGGCCCAGACUCCUACGGGAGGCAGCAGUGGGGAAUUUUCCGCAAUGGGCGAAAGCCUGACGGAGCAACGCCGCGUGAGGGAUGAAGGCCUCUGGGCUGUAAACCUCUUUUAUCAAGGAAGAAGAUCUGACGGUACUUGAUGAAUAAGCCACGGCUAAUUCCGUGCCAGCAGCCGCGGUAAUACGGGAGUGGCAAGCGUUAUCCGGAAUUAUUGGGCGUAAGCGUCCGCAGGCGGCCCUUCAGUCUGCUGUUAAAAGUGGAGCUUAACUCCAUCAUGGCAGUGGAAACUGUUGGGCUUGAGUGUGGUAGGGGCAGAGGGAAUACCCGGUGUAGCGGUGAAAUGCGUAUAUAUCGGGAAGAACACCAGUGGCGAAAGCGCUCUGCUGGGCCAUCACUGACGCUCAUGGACGAAAGCCAGGGGAGCGAAAGGGAUUAGAUACCCCUGUAGUCCUGGCCGUAAACGAUGAACACUAGGUGUCGGGGGAAUCGACCCCCUCGGUGUCGUAGCCCACGCGUUAAGUGUUCCGCCUGGGGAGUACGCACG
RNAcentral lists this ribosomal RNA (729 nucleotides) under uncultured bacterium. Its description in RNAcentral is "bacterial SSU rRNA". It matches the Rfam family "Bacterial small subunit ribosomal RNA", at positions 124 to 888 of the family's 1533-position model. The record is from RNAcentral.